This 480-nucleotide long non-coding RNA is filed under the name Elaeis guineensis (African oil palm). Its description in RNAcentral is "long non-coding RNA (EGUI_LNC073895)". Lineage: Eukaryota; Viridiplantae; Streptophyta; Magnoliopsida; Arecales; Arecaceae. The record is from RNAcentral.
AGUGGGUGCAAAAUUUGGUUUCUCCAGAAGUAAUAUUGUUAUUUUCAAACAUGCUUCCUUGCAAUUUGCAGUUGCUUAGUUGUUAUUUUAGGAAGUUAAAGAAAGAACUUGCUUGAAGUUGAGGGGAGUUCAGGGAAAAUUUGACAGAAGAGAAUGACAUAGUUACUCGGGAGCUGGAGUUCAGAUGUAUGCUUACGGAGGAAGAAGACCUGGGUAGCCUGUUGGAUCCACUGGCUGACAUUAGGGUAUCUGAGGAGGAGGAUCACAUGAGGGGUAAACACAAUCAGUUUUCAGUUAAUAGCUUCUACCCUUAACUUCAGCAAAGUGGGUAUGGUGGCCCCUUAUACCUGAGAAAAUCAAGGUGUUCUGUUGGAACAAGAUUUUCAUGGAUUCUAAUCUGAGAAAACAUAGUUGAAUAGGGUCAUUAGUCUGCAGUUUUUGUGGUAAGCGUGAGGAAACUGGAAAGCAUUUUCUGCUCCA